UAUUAAAAAAUUCAUUCCUUUAUACUAUUAAAAGCGGACAUGAUUGAUAGAAUAACCAGAUAGUGACACUUGGUGUGCCACGUAUACCUCAUGCUGAGGUAUAAGGACCAGCUCUUAAUAGUAGAAAUAGAUGUAACUUUUAAUA
This 145-nucleotide microRNA precursor is filed under the name Gossypium hirsutum (cotton). Its description in RNAcentral is "MIR7502 microRNA precursor family". It matches the Rfam family "MIR7502 microRNA precursor family". The record is from Rfam by way of RNAcentral. Lineage: Eukaryota; Viridiplantae; Streptophyta; Magnoliopsida; Malvales; Malvaceae.